UUUGGGAUAGCUCAGUUGGUAGAGCAUGAGGCUCUUAACCUCAGGGUUGAGAGUUCAAGCCCCACGUUGGGCAAAA
Podarcis lilfordi (Lilford's wall lizard) is the source of this 76-nucleotide non-coding RNA. Lineage: Eukaryota; Metazoa; Chordata; Lepidosauria; Squamata; Lacertidae. The record is from the annotation of a GenBank genome assembly.